RNAcentral lists this ribosomal RNA (96 nucleotides) under uncultured bacterium. RNAcentral's name for it is "partial 16S ribosomal RNA". It matches the Rfam family "Bacterial small subunit ribosomal RNA", at positions 1402 to 1500 of the family's 1533-position model. The record is from RNAcentral.
CCAUGGGAGUCGGUAACACCCGAGCCGAUAGUCUAACGAAAGAGGACGUCGUCGAAGGUGGGAUUGAUGACUGGGGUGAAGUCGUAACAAGGUAUC